AUUGGCUGUAACAAUAGCAUCAGUUCCUUACUUGUGGGAGGAGCUGGCUGUUUCUACCAGAAAGACAGGUUCUAAGAUAGAACCCUAGUCUCAAGUCCCACUUCACCAUUCAGCCUGUGGCAAGUCCUAGGAUCUCAAGAACGUUCAAGCACCUGCUUGUCCUCCAAGGGAAUACCACUUCCAUAGCUACUACGAAGACUUCCAAUAUCAUCUUCUCCAGUACACCCCA
Molecule: long non-coding RNA, 229 nt
Filed under: Monodelphis domestica (gray short-tailed opossum)
Lineage: Eukaryota; Metazoa; Chordata; Mammalia; Didelphimorphia; Didelphidae
Description: lncRNA (ENSMODG00000030817.2)
Source: RNAcentral